Molecule: ribosomal RNA, 253 nt
Filed under: uncultured Eubacteriales bacterium
Lineage: Bacteria; Bacillati; Bacillota; Clostridia; Eubacteriales
Description: uncultured Clostridiales bacterium partial 16S ribosomal RNA
Rfam family: Bacterial small subunit ribosomal RNA
Source: RNAcentral
UACGUAGGGGGCAAGCGUUAUCCGGAAUUACUGGGUGUAAAGGGAGCGUAGACGGUUAAGUAAGUCUGGAGUGAAAGGCCGGGGCCCAACCCCGGGACUGCUCUGGAAACUAUGUUACUGGAGUGCAGGAGAGGUAAGCGGAAUUCCUAGUGUAGCGGUGGAAUGCGUAGAUAUUAGGAGGAACAUCAGUGGCGAAGGCGACUAUCUGGACAGCAACUGACACUGAGGCACGAAAGCGUGGGGAGCAAACAGG